GUGGGGAAUAUUGGACAAUGGGCGAAAGCCUGAUCCAGCCAUGCCGCGUGAGUGAUGAAGGCCUUAGGGUUGUAAAGCUCUUUCAGUAGGGAAGAUAAUGACGGUACCUACAGAAGAAGCCCCGGCUAACUUCGUGCCAGCAGCCGCGGUAAUACGAAGGGGGCUAGCGUUGUUCGGAUUUACUGGGCGUAAAGCGCACGUAGGCGGAUUGGUCAGUUAGAGGUGAAAUCCUGGAGCUCAACUCCAGAACUGCCUUUAAUACUGCCAGUCUAGAGUCCAGAAGAGGUGAGUGGAACUCCUAGUGUAGAGGUGGAAUUCGUAGAUAUUCGGAAGAACACCAGUGGCGAAGGCGACUCACUGGCCCGUUACUGACGCUGAGGCGCGAAAGCGUGGGGAGCAAACAGGAUUAGAAACCCCUGUAGUCC
This 425-nucleotide ribosomal RNA is filed under the name uncultured bacterium. RNAcentral's name for it is "bacterial SSU rRNA". It matches the Rfam family "Bacterial small subunit ribosomal RNA", at positions 354 to 796 of the family's 1533-position model. The record is from RNAcentral.